This 253-nucleotide ribosomal RNA is filed under the name uncultured bacterium. Its description in RNAcentral is "partial 16S ribosomal RNA". It matches the Rfam family "Bacterial small subunit ribosomal RNA", at positions 524 to 776 of the family's 1533-position model. The record is from RNAcentral.
GACGAACCGUGCGAACGUUGUUCGGAAUCACUGGGCUUAAAGGGCGCGUAGGCGGGUGUGCAAGUCUGCGGUGAAAGCCUCCAGCUUAACUGGAGAAGUGCCGUGGAUACUGCGUAUCUUGAGGAGGGUAGGGGCAUCUGGAACAUUGGGUGGAGCGGUGAAAUGCGUUGAUAUCCAAUGGAACUCCGGUGGCGAAGGCGAGGUGCUGGACCCUUUCUGACGCUGAGGCGCGAAAGCCAGGGGAGCAAACGGG